RNAcentral lists this ribosomal RNA (470 nucleotides) under uncultured Rhodoferax sp. RNAcentral's name for it is "bacterial SSU rRNA". It matches the Rfam family "Bacterial small subunit ribosomal RNA", at positions 908 to 1382 of the family's 1533-position model. The record is from RNAcentral. Lineage: Bacteria; Pseudomonadati; Pseudomonadota; Betaproteobacteria; Burkholderiales; Comamonadaceae.
AAUUGACGGGACCGCACAAGCGGUGGAUGAUGUGGAUUAAUUCGAUGCAACGCGAAAAACCUUACCUACCCUUGACAUGUCCGACGUAAUCCCUGAGAGGAUUGGGAGUAGCUUCGGACUGGACACAGGUGCUGCAUGGCUGUCGUCAGCUCGUGUCGUGAGAUGUUGGGUUAAGUCCCGCAACGAGCGCAACCCUUGUCAUUAGUUGCUACAUUCAGUUGGGCACUCUAAUGAGACUGCCGGUGACAAGCCGGAGGAAGGUGGGGAUGACGUCAAGUCCUCAUGGCCCUUAUAGGUGGGGCUACACACGUCAUACAAUGGCUGGUACAAAGGGUUGCCAACCCGCGAGGGGGAGCCAAUCCCAUAAAGCCAGUCGUAGUCCGGAUCGUAGUCUGCAACUCGACUACGUGAAGUCGGAAUCGCUAGUAAUCGUGGAUCAGAAUGUCACGGUGAAUACGUUCCCGGGCCUU